Gossypium raimondii (Peruvian cotton) is the source of this 137-nucleotide small nucleolar RNA. It matches the Rfam family "Small nucleolar RNA snoR111". Lineage: Eukaryota; Viridiplantae; Streptophyta; Magnoliopsida; Malvales; Malvaceae. The record is from Rfam.
AAAAGUGUGAGGAGGCAGUAUACGAGAUCUGUCUCUUCAUAACGAAGAACGUUGAGGUAUAUCAAAAUCAAUGGCCGAGAUAUCGUUUCAGUCGUCAUUUUUUCUCCAUUGACGGUCUGAUUGUUGCUCGUCCACAC